This 253-nucleotide ribosomal RNA is filed under the name uncultured bacterium. RNAcentral's name for it is "partial 16S ribosomal RNA". It matches the Rfam family "Bacterial small subunit ribosomal RNA", at positions 524 to 776 of the family's 1533-position model. The record is from RNAcentral.
UACGGGGGGGGCAAGCGUUGUUCGGAAUUACUGGGCGUAAAGGGCUCGUAGGCGGCCAACUAAGUCAGACGUGAAAUCCCUCGGCUUAACCGGGGAACUGCGUCUGAUACUGGAUGGCUGGAGUUUGGGAGAGGGAUGCGGAAUUCCAGGUGUAGCGGUGAAAUGCGCAGAGAUCGGGAGGAACACCAAUGGCGAAAGCAGGUACCUGGACUAUUACUGACGCUCAGCUGCGAAAGCUAGGGGAGCAAACAGG